Molecule: ribosomal RNA, 432 nt
Filed under: uncultured bacterium
Lineage: Bacteria
Description: partial 16S ribosomal RNA
Rfam family: Bacterial small subunit ribosomal RNA
Source: RNAcentral
AACGAACGCUGGCGGCAGGCUUAACACAUGCAAGUCGAACGGAUCCUUCGGGAUUAGUGGCAGACGGGUGAGUAACGCGUGGGAACGUACCCUUUGCUACGGAAUAACUCAGGGAAACUUGAGCUAAUACCGUAUGUGCCCUACGGGGGAAAGAUUUAUCGGCAAAGGAUCGGUCCGCGUUGGAUUAGCUAGUUGGUGGGGUAAUGGCCUACCAAGGCGACGAUCCAUAGCUGGUCUGAGAGGAUGAUCAGCCACACUGGGACUGAGACACGGCCCAGACUCCUACGGGAGGCAGCAGUGGGGAAUAUUGGACAAUGGGCGCAAGCCUGAUCCAGCCAUGCCGCGUGAGUGAUGAAGGUCUUAGGAUUGUAAAGCUCUUUCACCGGUGAAGAUAAUGACGGUAGCCGGAGAAGAAGCCCCGGCUAACUUCGU